RNAcentral lists this ribosomal RNA (119 nucleotides) under Carlito syrichta (Philippine tarsier). Lineage: Eukaryota; Metazoa; Chordata; Mammalia; Primates; Tarsiidae. The record is from RNAcentral.
GUCUACAGCCAUACCACCCUGAACAUGCCCAAUCUCGUCUGAUCUCGGAAGCUCAGCAGGUUUGGGUCUGGUUAGUACUUGGAUGGGAGACCGCCUGGGAAUAUCGGGUGCUGUAGGCU